GUCUGGGUAGCUCAGUCGGUAGAGCGACCGACUUCAGCUCAGGUCAUGAUCUCACAGCUCGUGGGUUCGAGCCCCGCGUCGGGCU
RNAcentral lists this transfer RNA (85 nucleotides) under Felis catus (domestic cat). It matches the Rfam family "tRNA". From Rfam's summary of the family: Transfer RNA (tRNA) molecules are approximately 80 nucleotides in length. Their secondary structure includes four short double-helical elements and three loops (D, anti-codon, and T loops). Further hydrogen bonds mediate the characteristic L-shaped molecular structure. tRNAs have two regions of fundamental functional importance: the anti-codon, which is responsible for specific mRNA codon recognition, and the 3' end, to which the tRNAs corresponding amino acid is attached (by aminoacyl-tRNA synthetases). tRNAs cope with the degeneracy of the genetic code in two manners: having more than one tRNA (with a specific anti-codon) for a particular amino acid; and 'wobble' base-pairing, i.e. permitting non-standard base-pairing at the 3rd anti-codon position. Lineage: Eukaryota; Metazoa; Chordata; Mammalia; Carnivora; Felidae. The record is from Rfam by way of RNAcentral.